RNAcentral lists this transfer RNA (67 nucleotides) under Aphelocheirus jendeki. RNAcentral's name for it is "tRNA-Trp". The record is from RNAcentral. Lineage: Eukaryota; Metazoa; Arthropoda; Insecta; Hemiptera; Aphelocheiridae.
AAAGCUUUAAGUUAAUAAAACUAUUAGCCUUCAAAGCUUAAAAUAUGAAAGAUAUUCAUAAGCUUUA